CCUACGGGGGGCUGCAGUGAGGAAUAUUGGUCAAUGGGCGCGAGCCUGAACCAGCCAAGUCGCGUGAGGGAUGACGGUCCUACGGAUUGUAAACCUCUUUUGCCGGGGAGCAAGCGUGCGUUCGUGAACGCGCGUCGAGAGUACCCGGAGAAAAAGCCUCGGCUAACUCCGUGCCAGCAGCCGCGGUAAUACGGAGGAUGCGAGCGUUAUCCGGAUUUAUUGGGUUUAAAGGGUGCGUAGGCGGGAUGCCAAGUCAGCGGUAAAAAUGCGGUGCUCAACACCGUCGAGCCGUUGAAACUGGCGUUCUUGAGUGGGCGAGAAGUAUGCGGAAUGCGUGGUGUAGCGGUGAAAUGCUUAGAUAUCACGAAGAACUCCGAUUGCGAAGGCAGCUUACUAAACUGCCACUGACAUUGAUGCUCGAAAGUGUGGGUAUCGAACAGGAUUAGAUACCCUGGUAGUC
RNAcentral lists this ribosomal RNA (460 nucleotides) under uncultured bacterium. RNAcentral's name for it is "partial 16S ribosomal RNA". It matches the Rfam family "Bacterial small subunit ribosomal RNA", at positions 338 to 795 of the family's 1533-position model. The record is from RNAcentral.